AAGUCGUAACAAGGUUUCCGUAGGUGAACCUGCGGAAGGAUCAUACUUGACUUUAGCCUGUGCUACUACACUGUGAACUGUAACUGCCAAUUGGCGGCUGAAAGGUCGCCUUCAGGCCAUUAUUUUAUUUACUGUAACUUUAAAUACCAGUAAUUAUCAUUUAUUAUACAACUUUUAGCAAUGGAUCUCUAGGCUCUC
This 198-nucleotide unclassified non-coding RNA is filed under the name fungal sp. RNAcentral's name for it is "partial internal transcribed spacer region". The stretch from base 1 to 46 matches the Rfam family "Eukaryotic small subunit ribosomal RNA", at positions 1786 to 1831 of the family's 1831-position model. Lineage: Eukaryota; Fungi. The record is from RNAcentral.